Molecule: long non-coding RNA, 355 nt
Filed under: Setaria viridis
Lineage: Eukaryota; Viridiplantae; Streptophyta; Magnoliopsida; Poales; Poaceae
Description: long non-coding RNA (SVIR_LNC000434)
Source: RNAcentral
GGGAACUAGAAAUGUUGGAAGAGAUUCAAAAGAAUUCUUUUCUUUAGAAUUCUUUCUUGCUAAUAGAUCUGUGUGAUCCAAAAAUGUUGGUAGUUUGUUUGGGACAUCUUUGAUAUAAUAGCUUUCAUGAAUAUGAACAUACAUGAACCAAACCAUAAUAUUUGUUCAACGGUGACAACAAAGUGAAGUGAUGUACGAGUUGUGUGCUUGAUCAAGUUUAUUUUUAUUAGUUUUUUAAACCCGUGCGUGUGGCACGGGUAUCUCCACUAGUUCAAAGAAAAAGAAAAAAAGUUAAAGAAGGGCAUAUGAAAUCUCCAGUAGUCUUCCAAUAAUGUUUUUCAAUAAUCAAUUAAUA